This 520-nucleotide unclassified non-coding RNA is filed under the name plant metagenome. RNAcentral describes it as "partial contains small subunit ribosomal RNA and internal transcribed spacer 1". The stretch from base 1 to 46 matches the Rfam family "Eukaryotic small subunit ribosomal RNA", at positions 1786 to 1831 of the family's 1831-position model. The record is from RNAcentral.
AAGUCGUAACAAGGUCUCCGUAGGUGAACCUGCGGAGGGAUCAUUAACACGUUCCAUACCAAAAAUCUAUCAACCAAACUGCGAAUUUCCGUACCUGCCUGCUGUCGAAGUGCUUGCGGUGCAUGCUGAGAUCCAGGAUGAAGGUGAGGGGAUGCUUUGGUUCAGCGUUGCGCCUUUCGGGCACAUUAACGCCUGAGUCCUCCUCUCACACGGGUCGAGCAAUGCCAAGUGGCGGCCCUCAACCAGCCGUCAGCCGCCCUCGCUUGUGGCUAGGCCCAACAUAUAUACACUUGGCGGUUUGUCAUCAACCGCCGCGUGCAUAUCCACACGACCCUCUUUCUCGACGCUCGGUCGUAUGACUAGCUCGAGGAGAGUGUAUCAAUCUCUAUUGAUCAUUCUGAAGUUGAUCCUCGCGUUGUUCUCGCUGUGUGUGGGUGUCAUUUCUGAUGCCGCCACAACGGGGAGUUGGCGUUUGAGGUCGCUCGAACGUCCUAUCUGCGAAAGAUAGUGAAAUACAGCA